UGUGGGAGCGGGCUUGCUCGCGAAGGCGGUGGUUCAGUCAAUGAUUUUUCGACUGACCGUCCGCCUUCGCGAGCAAGCCCGCUCCCACA
RNAcentral lists this unclassified non-coding RNA (89 nucleotides) under Pseudomonas fluorescens. Lineage: Bacteria; Pseudomonadati; Pseudomonadota; Gammaproteobacteria; Pseudomonadales; Pseudomonadaceae. The record is from RNAcentral.